GCUUGUUGCCUAGCAACCACUUGAGGGCUCCUAAGAGUACUGUAGGUGAUGACAAGAGAAGCUGGCGAGGCAGGAAGGCCCUGGGCCUGUUUCUGAAGUAAGUUCUGUCUGUCCUACACAGACCCUUCUUUCACACGCAGCCUUGGACUGUUCGCCAGGCCGUGGCUGUAACGGGGGCAUCCUGCUUCUCCACCAACUCAGUGGCUGUAACGGGGGCAUCCUGCUUCUCCACCAACUCAGUGGCCGUGCCUGCUAAGGGACUGCCUCCCCACACCCCAUUCUUUCCCUCCUUUCUGCAUUUGUGUUAGCCACCCCCCUCUUCCCUCCCCCUUUGAAAUGUGAUCGACCUAUAGAGCUCGGGCUGGACUCCUCACAGCAGACCUCUGCCUCAGUGAUUACCCUGUGCACAGCCAUACCUGGAUGAUCCUGUGCUUCAGAGCCAUUCAGCCUCCAUGGUCCUGCACCUCACCUCUGCAGCCUCCAUGGUCCUGCACCUCACCUCUGCAGCCUCCAUGGUCCUGCACCUCACCUCUGUAGCCCCCAUGGUCCUGCACCUCACCUCUGCAACUUCCAUGGUCCUGCACCUCGCCUCUGCAGCCUCCACGGUCCUGCACCUCACCUCUGCAGCCUGCAUAGUCCUGCACCCCACCGCUGCAGCCUCCACAGUCCUGCACUUCACCUCUGUAGCCCCCAUGGUCCUGCACCUCAUCUCUGCAGCCUCCAUGGUCCUGCACCUCACCUCUGCAG
Molecule: long non-coding RNA, 747 nt
Organism: Peromyscus eremicus (cactus mouse)
Lineage: Eukaryota; Metazoa; Chordata; Mammalia; Rodentia; Cricetidae
Exons: 3
Source: RefSeq, a predicted model, not a curated record